RNAcentral lists this long non-coding RNA (4748 nucleotides) under Canis lupus familiaris (dog). RNAcentral describes it as "lncRNA (ENSCAFG00040002038.1)". Lineage: Eukaryota; Metazoa; Chordata; Mammalia; Carnivora; Canidae. The record is from RNAcentral.
AUGAUGAUGAGGCGGAGGAAGGUGAGGAGGAUGAGGAGGAGGCGGAGGAGGAGGAUUAGGAGGAGGAGGAGGAGGAGAAAGAGUCUGUGGAGGAGGAGGAGGAUGAGGAGCAGGAGGAUGAGGAGGAUGAGGAGGAUGAGGAUGAGGAGGAGGAGGAAGGUGAGGAGGAUGAGGAGGAUGAUGAUGAGGCGGAGGAAGGUGAGGAGGAUGAGGAGGAGGAUGAUGAUGAGGAGGAGGAGGAGGAGGCUGCGGAGGCUGCGGAGGCGUCGGGGAGGAGCGGAGCCCCCAGGCGGGCUCGGUCCCCGGGCAGUGCCCGCCGCGCCCACGGGGGGGCGCUCGGCACACGCGCAGCAGGGUCGGCGGCCGCGGUGGGCAGGGCUCCCAGGGCUCGGCUCGGGCUUCCUUUGCGGACCGUUUCCUGGCGGCUCCGGCGAUGCGCCUUCCUGCCGACCCUCUGCCCCGCGGCUCCCGUGUCCUUUCGCUUCGCGUGGACUUCCAGUCCCUUCUGUGCUGUGCUGCCGCCCGCUGCGACCCCCGCCCCGCACGCCCCGCCAGGGCCUCAGCCCCGGAGCCCGCCUCCCACCAGCGCGGUCUGCGGAGCCUCCAGGUGUCCUCGUGGUGGUUGCACAGAAACUGCGGAAGUGUUCUGGGUGGUCCCAUGCACCCCCCACCCCCGCCUCUGUGUUUGAUGUGGGACCCGCUACUGCAGAGCCAGGGAUGCGCUCCUGCUUGUACCCUGUGGGCCGCACUCUUGCCUCUGUUCUUUGCCGUGGACCCCUCUCUUCCUGGGGGCGUUCGAGUUCUCAGAUUCCUUGGAGAGGCGCAUCCGUGUGUCAUUUGUCUUUGGAAGACAUUCACUGUGAUGAAUCUGUGGCUUUAUUCCAGAUGCAGUCCCAUCGUUCUACUGGAUGAUUUUGUUGUCAAACAAGAUAAAAUCUCCCCUAAAAACAUGCUCUUUCUCCUUCUUCAACUCGACUGGGACACUGUUGGUUGGGUUAUUUUCUUCCCACAGCACGCAGUAAUGUUCUGGAUACUGACAACCCAGGUAAAGCUGGUAAGAAUGUCCCACGUGCUUGUCAAAGAAUGCCUCGUCGAGUUCCUUCUGGGAAAGAGGCUUUCUAUCCAGAAUAGAAUAAGGGCUAAAAUAUAAUGGGGAAAAAAACAGGUUGUGGAAACACUGGCUAUGUGUCUGUGAUGGUGCUGGCACAGUGGGGUCACCGCCAGGCUGGCCUCCGGGUGGCCUGUGGUCAGGCACUGUCUACACUGCCGAUUGGCCUACUUGUCCCAGCCUCAUCUGCUGCUGGGUGCCCAGGCCUGUGUCCCCACAGCUCACCGGCUCCCAUGUGCUCGGAGGAGGAGGGCGAUGUGGGCAGGGGGCAGGGCCGGCAUAGGCAGGAAGAUCCAGGACCAUGCCUAUUGGGACAAUUAGGGACACGCAGGCCAUUCCUUUGAAAUUUGGCCAGGUCCUUGGGGAAUAUAAGAUGACGACGUAAAUAUUGAAGGAACGAGAUUUUGCAGGAUGGAGGCCAUGGGCAUUAUGCAAACGCUCCUCCUCCAUCCAUCUCCAAACCCGCAUCGUCCCUCCUUGGGAAAGCAGAAGACACUCAGAAUUUCUAGGUGAAAAGUGCUGGGAUGUUCGAUCACUCUAAAUCAGAAUUUCAAAAAAAAAAUCUUAAAACUGUUUGGCCGUUAUUAUUAUUUUUUAAUAAGAUGAGGUCAGAGGCCUGUGUUAUAAAUCAGCAUAGAAACAGCUUCCUUCCAUGGCAACCGGGAGGGUUUUCUCUUCCCAGAGUCCCGACACGUUGCGCUGUGUCCACCCACCACCCGCCAACCUGUCCCUCCUGUGCGGUCUCAGAGGCCAGUGGGGGAGCGGGGGCCUGGGGUCACAUCUUAUCUCCUCACUCCACCUGUGGACCUAACUUUCUAAGGUCAGGAGUAAGGGAGAUGAUUUCCAGCCAGGUCUUGAGUCUGGAAAUGUGGGUACAGAGCUUCCUCUGCGGGCAGGAUGUCCCUACAUGAGUGAUUUCAAGCAUUUCGUUUUAUUUGUAUUUUUUUUCUCCCAGGUAUUUACUGUUGGCUAAUAGGUUAGAGGCCCUUUCCUUGUCUGUUCAUCCUAUGAACAACCUCUCAGCAGGUGCCCCCUUUCUUUUUCUUUUUUCUUCUCUUCUUCUUUUUUUUUUUUUUUUUUGCCUUAAAGAGUCCAUCAAAACCUUGAAGAUUUUUUUUCCCUCUAAAUAAGCAUGGAGUGAAACAGAAUCAUUAUAAUAGAAAUGUAGAGUUCUUUCUAGAACUAGACUAUUCUUGUGGUCUUAUCAACCUGCCUGUCUUCAAGAGGUCACUCCAUUUUGUGAAAGGGGAGAAAAAUCUUGGUUUUUUAAAAAAGAUUUUAUUUUAGUAUUUUUAAAAAAUUUUAAAUUUUUAAAAAAAGAUUUUAAAUUUUUUAAAAAAGAUUUUAUUUAUUUGAGAGAAUGGGAGAGAGCUCAGAGGGACAGGGAGAGAGAGAGAGAAGCUGAGCAGGGAGCCCAACGUAGGGCUCGAUCCAAGGACCCUGAGAUCAUGACCUGAGCUAAAGGCAGACGUUUCGCCAACUGAGCCACCCGGGUGCCCCCCAAAAUCUGAUUUUUUGAAAAAAGAUUUAUUUAUUUAUUUGAGAGAUAGAAUGAGUGGGAGGGGCAGAGCGAGAGUCCCAAGCAGACUCCAUGCUGAGUGCAGAGCCCGACGUGGGGCUCCGUCCCACAGCCCUGAGGUCGUGACCUGAGCCAAAACUCAGAAUUGGCCACUAACUGACCCCACCACCCAUGGGCCCCAGAAAAUCUGAUUUAGAAGGAUCAUCCUCAAGAACGAUGCACGUGAGGCCCACAGGCAUCCCCUCGGAGGGAGAGACGCGCCAGGGGAGGUGCACUCGAAGCUCCGGAUCUGUCUGCCCCCAGCUUGGUGCCAGGCAGUGACUUGACCUCAGUUUUCCGAGUCUGGAUGAAGGACGAUGGUGUAGGAGUUGGGGGUGAUGUGUGUAGUGUGCUUGGGGCGGUGCUUGGAGUGUAGACACUCGCAUGCUCUUUGCUCUGGGACCCCGUGAGUUGCGGGGGACAUGAGGAUGCGCGGCGGCACCUGCCUGCACGAGGAUUUACGGGGAGACGUCUGAAACCUCUGGAUGUAUAAGCAAGUCUGGGAAAUGUACCAGCGCAUCCUCCGAAAAACGCCUCAUCUUCGUGGUAUUGUCUGACCUUAAGUGGUUUUCCCAGGAGGAGGAGAGCUUGACCACAUUUCCAUCAGGAUAAGGAUCUCAGCAUAAUUUCACAGCGUAUUUCCCUUGCAAUAUUCCGUUUGGUCAUCUGAAAGUUCACGUCUUUUCUUAUCUGAGGAGGUUCAGGUCCGCUUAGGAAAUAGUGCUACAGUGAAGUAAGUGAUUUGGAAGGGAAAUUCCAACCGCUUGGGCUGUGCACGUACAGCGGCCACGAUAAGAAAUAAUUGGUACUCGGUCCUCGUUGCUGUCCUGGCCGACGCACUACCUCGCGACCUUCUAAGAAGGGAGAAACCUUAGAGGUGCCUUCCUCCAAACCUACAUCUUUACAGAUGGGGACAUUGAGGCCCAAAGAGAUCGUGUCACUCCGCUGGGCCGGAGCAGGAUAAAACUCCUAACGGGGGCCCUCCCACCCCAGCGGCAGUCUUGCUUAUCUCCACUCACUACUCGGGGCAGGGGCGACCCGGUCUGGAUCGGGGCGGGAGGUGUGCAGCACACAGCUAGAGGGGAUCGCUCCACACCGACACCACACAGGGUGGCAACCAAGCGUAGGCCCUUUGAGAGCCUGGGUAUUUCUUUGCAACUUUGAAAAUAAGGUGAUUCCAGGGAACCUGGGAGCAUCGCUAAGUACCGAGGAUGCUGUGGAGGUCCCUGGGGAGAUGAUUCAGCGUCCGGCCGCUGCCAAGUCUUCUGUAGAUGAACAAAGCAUCUUUUUUUAUAUUAAUCAUUUCUAAAUGAAGAAAUCAUUUGGGAAUGGGGAGGCGGGCAUGCUAAGGCCAGCUUCCCUUUCAUUCCGGGCAUUACUGGAGAGAAGUAGGUGCAGGAGAAGUCAGCCCCACACCUGAGAAGAGAAACACUCGUGAACACACUGUGCAAGGGGCACCUUCAGCUCAGGUCAUGAUCCCAGCAUCUUGGGAUCGAACCUCAUGUCGGGCAGGUGCUCUGGUCAGUGGGGAGUCAGCUUCUCCCUCUCCCUCUGCUGCUCCACUGCUCAAAUAAAUAAAUCUUAAAAAACAAAACAAAACAAAACAGAACGUCGUGUUUUUGUCAUUAAGGAGACCUAACAGGUGCACGUACAGCCAGAUUCUGCAAAUUCAGGCUACAAUAGGCUACUCGGGUCGAGCACACUGGUGCAAAGACAAAGGGGCGGUCUCAGGUCAUCAGAUGUCACAAGCAGGUGCUGGUACGGAACGAGGUUUUAUACUAAUUAGACCAGAAGCAACGAUAUCCAGACGAAAAGGGCUGGGAAGUCACCCAACGUGAGGCGGUGGUCUGAACGUUCCUUUCGGCAGAGCGAUGAUCAGAAAAAAGAAGGUUCGCCGUGCGGGUCAGGCCGCCAGCCUUCUGGGGCUCACCUUCCUGCCUCAGCCUGGCGGGCACUCGCUCACGGGGGGCGGGUGUCGUUUCCCUAUUUUUUUCUUUUUUUUUUUUCUUUUUUUCGUUUUCCUAUUUACGGCCGUGCGUUUUCAACCUCGGGGAAGGCCCAGACGGAAAAUAAGUCAGACCC